Molecule: ribosomal RNA, 501 nt
Filed under: uncultured bacterium
Lineage: Bacteria
Description: partial 16S ribosomal RNA
Rfam family: Bacterial small subunit ribosomal RNA
Source: RNAcentral
AUUGAACGCUGGCGGCAGGCUUAACACAUGCAAGUCGAGCGGGGAGAUGUAGCUUGCUACAUUUCCUAGCGGCGGACGGGUGAGUAAUGCUUAGGAAUCUGCCUAUUAGUGGGGGACAACAUUCCGAAAGGAAUGCUAAUACCGCAUACGCCCUACGGGGGAAAGCAGGGGAUCUUCGGACCUUGCGCUAAUAGAUGAGCCUAAGUCAGAUUAGCUAGUUGGUGGGGUAAAGGCCUACCAAGGCGACGAUCUGUAGCGGGUCUGAGAGGAUGAUCCGCCACACUGGGACUGGGACACGGCCCAGACUCCUACGGGAGGCAGCAGUGGGGAAUAUUGGACAAUGGGCGCAAGCCUGAUCCAGCCAUGCCGCGUGUGUGAAGAAGGCCUUUUGGUUGUAAAGCACUUUAAGCGAGGAGGAGGCUACCUGGAUUAAUACUCUAGGAUAGUGGACGUUACUCGCAGAAUAAGCACCGGCUAACUCUGUGCCAGCAGCCGCCGUAA